GUGGGGAAUCUUAGACAAUGGGCGCAAGCCUGAUCUAGCCAUGCCGCGUGAGUGAUGAAGGCCCUAGGGUUGUAAAGCUCUUUCAGCUGGGAAGAUAAUGACGGUACCAGCAGAAGAAGCCCAGGCUAACUCCGUGCCAGCAGCCGCGGUAAUACGGAGGGGGCUAGCGCUGUUCGGAAUUACUGGGCGUAAAGCGCGCGUAGGCGGACUGAAAAGUUGGGGGUGAAAUCCCGGGGCUCAACCUCGGAACUGCCUUCAAAACUAUCAGUCUGGAUUUCGAGAGAGCAGAGUGGAAUUCAGAGUGUAGAGGUGAAAUUCGUAGAUAUUCGGAGGAACACCAGUGGCGAAGGCGGCUCACUGGCUCGAUACUGACGCUGAGGUGCGAAAGCGUGGGGAGCAAACAGGAUUAGAAACCCCAGUAGUCC
RNAcentral lists this ribosomal RNA (425 nucleotides) under uncultured bacterium. RNAcentral describes it as "partial 16S ribosomal RNA". It matches the Rfam family "Bacterial small subunit ribosomal RNA", at positions 354 to 796 of the family's 1533-position model. The record is from RNAcentral.